This 492-nucleotide ribosomal RNA is filed under the name uncultured bacterium. Its description in RNAcentral is "partial 16S ribosomal RNA". It matches the Rfam family "Bacterial small subunit ribosomal RNA", at positions 29 to 507 of the family's 1533-position model. The record is from RNAcentral.
AGUGAACGCUGGCGGUAGGCCUAACACAUGCAAGUCGAACGGCAGCACAGUAAGAGCUUGCUCUUACGGGUGGCGAGUGGCGGACGGGUGAGGAAUACAUCGGAAUCUACUUUUUCGUGGGGGAUAACGUAGGGAAACUUACGCUAAUACCGCAUACGAUCUACGGGUGAAAGCAGGGGAUCUUCGGACCUUGCGCGAUUGAAUGCGCCGAUGUCGGAUUAGCUAGUUGGCGGGGUAAAGGCCCACCAAGGCGACGAUCCGUAGCUGGUCUGAGAGGAUGAUCAGCCACACUGGAACUGAGACACGGUCCAGACUCCUACGGGAGGCAGCAGUGGGGAAUAUUGGACAAUGGGCGCAAGCCUGAUCCAGCCAUACCGCGUGGGUGAAGAAGGCCUUCGGGUUGUAAAGCCCUUUUGUUGGGAAAGAAAAGCAGCAGGUUAAUACCCCGCUGUUCUGACGGUACCCAAAGAAUAAGCACCGGCUAACUUCGUG